UACGUAGGGUGCAAGCGUUGUCCGGAAUUAUUGGGCGUAAAGAGCCCGUAGGCGGUUUGUCGCGUCUGCUGUGAAAACUCGGGGCUUAACUCCGGGCCUGCAGUGGGUACGGGCAGACUAGAGUGCGGUAGGGGAGACUGGAAUUCCUGGUGUAGCGGUGAAAUGCGCAGAUAUCAGGAGGAACACCGAUGGCGAAGGCAGGUCUCUGGGCCACUACUGACGCUGAGAAGCGAAAGCAUGGGGAGCGAACAGG
RNAcentral lists this ribosomal RNA (253 nucleotides) under uncultured bacterium. RNAcentral describes it as "partial 16S ribosomal RNA". It matches the Rfam family "Bacterial small subunit ribosomal RNA", at positions 524 to 776 of the family's 1533-position model. The record is from RNAcentral.